RNAcentral lists this ribosomal RNA (170 nucleotides) under uncultured rumen bacterium. Its description in RNAcentral is "partial 16S ribosomal RNA". It matches the Rfam family "Bacterial small subunit ribosomal RNA", at positions 340 to 524 of the family's 1533-position model. The record is from RNAcentral.
UACGGGAGGCAGCAGUGGGGAAUAUUGGGCAAUGGGCGAAAGCCUGACCCAGCAACGCCGCGUGAAGGAUGAAGGUCUUCGGAUUGUAAACUUCUUUGAUCAGGGACGAAACAAAUGACGGUACCUGAAGAACAAGCCACGGCUAACUACGUGCCAGCAGCCGCGGUAAU